This is a long non-coding RNA of Toxorhynchites rutilus septentrionalis, 1448 nucleotides long. RefSeq lists it as uncharacterized. The record is from RefSeq and is a predicted model, not a curated record. The transcript is spliced from 3 exons. NCBI's taxonomy places the organism in Eukaryota, Metazoa, Arthropoda, Insecta, Diptera, Culicidae.
AUAGCAGAGUCUUUCGGCGGGGUUUUCUUGUUCUUCAAAUUUCAAAACCCGGCGAGCGCUUCGACUUGAACUCUGCUCGGGAGGUUAAAGGGUAUCGCCCGCGAAUGCUUGAAUGCGCGACCAAUGAAAGCGCAGGGGAAUUUCGGUGUGAAUACGGAAUAGUUAACAUCGUUAACUAUUACGUAAUUCCGGUUCCAAUGAAUGUCUCGCUGAUCUGAGGAUCUUGAGAUAUGCUUGCCCAUUCCGACUUCGACCGUGGAAUAGGCAGGGCGGACCAGUUUUUUUGCAUCGCGAGUGGACGGUAAAAAGUUAGUUUAAAAUAAGUUUUUCCGAGAAAUCGAAAAGUGUAAUUCUUCGCUUGUGUUCCCGUUUAGCGAAAUCAAAGGAAGGAGCCGUAUCCUGACCCCAUGAUCGAAGAUUGGAUCUUCGCCACCACAUCAGUCAAACCAGGUGGCCGCGCGAAGCGCGAAUCGUCACUCGAAUCAAGGGAAGGCGCAGCACGGCACCACUACACGUCGGAUGCGCAUUCAACGUCUACGUCCCAUCAUCUACGCCUACGGACUCGUCAUUCAUCGCCUACCGUGGAACGGCGGUAAAGUAGAUGCACGUAAAGCCUAGGUAGUGUGAGUACAAAACUUCUUUCACCCUAAAAAUAACAUGCGCAUGUAGGGUUAAGAUCAAAAAUAAAAACCACACACAAAUUAACAACGCCACACAAAAAAAAUGCCACACAAUUUAGAAGCAUAGAGCAAUACCGUCAGCGUGCACAUGCUGCUCGCUAGCAAGAAGGGUUCACACAAGAUGGAGAAUUAGACUCGAUAGUAAGAUCGCUGGGCUUGAAUUCCAGGGUCCGGUGUUCGAAACCCAUAUGAGGAUUUAGUGAAAUAAAUUUAGUAACCAUUAUUUUUCGUUAUUUGUUGUGAUGAUUUCGUAUGUAAUAUAGAUGUGAAUAUAACCUAAAUUCGUGGGAAGAUGUGGAGAACUUAAUAAAUGUUUAAAGAAUCAAUGUAAUUUGAAGUAGACAUAAAUGUUGUGCAUUUACUGGCUAGCGGUAGCCUAAACACCCGAUACAAUUUUCAGAUAGGUCACGAGCCCAGGGUUGGGGCUCCUCUUCUGUUGUGGACAACUUUUCAACCCCCGCACCUCGUCCUCUGAAACUUCAAGGUGGGUGGGUUUGGCAUCAUUGCGUAGGUCCAAUGAUGAGAAUUUUGGCAUAAACGGUGUUCAUUGGAAACAACCGUAUUGCCUCUGUUGCCUGAAUUGUGGAACGCGGAUAAACGGUGUCGCGGGUCCUUCUUAGCGCAGAAGAGUCGCGGAAAUAACCGGGUUUGUGAGAAAAAGGACAAACCCGCCCUCAGUGGGUGUCUCAUUGCCGGGCAAGGAUAAAACACGGCGGUCGGUCUCCCUCGCGGGAGUGGCGCUUAAGCCGACCGCUUAUCUGCGCAAAA